AGGUGUUUUCUCCUUUUAAGUAACUGCGUUGAGACUCAUCGAUCAAAAUUAGGGGAGUGUGGCUGCACGUGAGACUUCCUGGAAUACCACAAAGUGAGCGGGAAAUUGGGACCCACUUCUAACAUGGAAAAAAAUUACAGAGGAAAACAGAAAGCUAUUUUUGGCACGCUGAAUUCAGUAGAUGAAAAGCUGAGAUAAUCCUAUAGGAACUGUUUUGGAUCUUGAACAAGUCUAAUGGGGAGUGAAUAGGCAGCUUCAAGGGUCCUGACAAAGUGUGCAAGUGACAAAUGAAAGGAAGAUGUUCAUUUAUACACACUAUGUGUGAUCUUCUCUAGGGCUGGGGUAUGAAUUUUGCUCUUGACCACAGUCUUCCUUCUACUUUUGUUAAGCUGUUCCAAAAAGCAGGCCCUUGGAGAAGUGUUCAGCACUAUAGGAACUCUGGAUUUACGUUGGAUGCUUUUUAAAAGAGUGGCAGAGGACAUCACGUCAGUGAGAUUUCACCAAUUCAAGGAAAAACCUUGAAAACUCUAAUCAAGUCUGUCCCAUAUUCAUGCAACAGUAAAGACAAAAGGAUGUAAGUGCAUCAAAGUCUGUUUUUGAGUCUGACUGUAAAGAAUAAGUUAUUAUUCUUUGGAUUAUUUUUUUUUACAUUUCAAUGUUAUUUGUUGGCUCACAGAUAUUUCUUUUUCUUUCUCACACCUCAUACUUUGGCAUGACAACCUCUAAGCAAAUGCUACCAAGAUUACAUUAGGAAACCUCACUCAACAAUGCAGGUACAGUAAAAGAAAAAUGAAAAUGAAAACAAAAAAAAACUCAGGAGAGAAAAAAAAAAAAAAUACCAACAAACAUGACAGAACCGCUUUGUUUCCCAAAUUAUCAUCAGGCUGUCCAGACAUGGAGAAGCAGUGAACAGCUAUCACAGUGUGGAUAAUAUAGAGAAGUGCUUCCAGGAACAAUGGGAGCAGCCUCCCGUAUGCAGAAUGGGAGCUGUCAGUGGGAAUUAGUGUCCCACAGAUCCUCCCCAUCUCCCAGUGACGGAUCCAGAAGGUGUGCUUGUGGGGUCAGGUGGGAAGGCAAAGCACUGAAGGUUGCAACACAUCCAGUGUAUAGAGAGUAUUAUCAAAUUACUUUGUCAUCUUUAACAGCCCUGCAGGGACUGCAGUGGAAUCUCAGUCCCUUUUUUAAUGAAUGGAAGUUUUACCCCGAAUAGUAAGAGCAAGAUAAAUACUUUUAGCUGUUUUACUUAGCUCAUUUUUUCUUUUCCUCCCUUUUUUUUUUUUCCUUUAAUUUUAAAUAAUUACUGUUUUAAAGCCAGCCAAGGCACAUAGGGUUAAAGAUGUAAAAUCUCAGCAUGGUGCAAUAAAGCUGAUACUGAAAUAGUGUAUCCCUACUGUAGGAGGAAUCUGCAAUCAGGACUUCCAAGCACAUGCAAAAAAUAACUCUUGGAUCAGUCUUCUUGUCUUCCAGUAGACUUGGCAAGAAAGGCAAGCCAUAUGUGAAGCCAGCCAUAUAUCAGUUAUGUGGUCUUAGAUAUUUGCAAUAAAACAAAGGACUUUGCUGUCAGCCCUUCCUGAUUUCAUGAAGCCUUUACAGCUCACAGUAAUGUCUCUUUAUCAAAACCCACAAAGUUAUCCUUAGACAUGUGCAUUUCUUAGGGAAAAUAUUCUCUGAAAUAGCUAUUUAUGAUUAAAUCCAUCAGGGAAAGGGGAAGACAUGAAAGGACUUAAUACAGCCAGUUUCAGCCAUGCUGAAUGCAUCUAGGAAUAACAAACGAGUGUAAAAACAAUUAAAAAUAAAAUAAGUAAGACUGGGGGAAGGGAAGAGGGUAGAAGAAUUAAAAUAGACAUACACAAAACAAUAUGAUCAAGAAUGAAAUCUUUGUGACAGUGAUGUGGAUGCCCUGGUAAAUUAAGUGGAACUAAAACUUCACACCAGAAUUGCUCCUGGCCAUUUAUUUAGGCAGUAUUAGCCAGCAGUUUCAUGCAGGGAUCGUGCUAGGAGUGGGUUCAAGGAAAAAAUUUUGUAAGGGUGUUUUUCCCAGCCAAUGUGAGGUGGAUGGUCUGCACACAGGGAACAAGAAAGAUGGCUGAGAAUAGUUCAGAGUGAGCCACGAAGAGAGGUCAGGAGCUAAUGAAAAGUUAGCCCCCGGACCUGCAAAACCACGGGGAUGUGAACAGCCCUAUGCGUGUGAUUGCUCAGUUAUGUGAAGUUCACUGCGUGCUCAAGCUCAGGGUAAGAACUUGUUUGAUUUGAUGUAGUAGUGAGAGGAGUCAGGGGCGGGAUUUGAAAAGUGACGUGAUUGCAGCAGUGCUUUUCUGAAACAACUUUACAGAAAAAAUUCGGAGAGUGCAUUCCUUACAAAACUGAUAAGGUGUUACUAUAGAACUGCAGUAAUGACUUUGGCAAACAGUUUGUGCAAAUUUCUAGACUAUAAUUGCAAAUGUGGAUUUUUAAUCAAAUAUUAUUAACUAUUACAUAAUGAAAAGAAAUAAAAUCCCAAUAGACAGAUUAGCAUUUUUACUCUCUUUAAAAAACCUGUUUUACAAUGUUCCUUUGAGCCAUAUCCUAAGUUUUAAAAGCAUUUGGGUUUUCUAGAUCAGAUUCUGCAAGGCUCUUGGGCUAACUUUAAGUAUGUGAUUUGUCUAAUUGGAAUUAGCAGCUUGCAACCACGUAUGUUCCUAAGGAUCUUGCCAUGUCAUGCAGGUUUUCUUUUUUUUUUUUUUUCCUACCUUAAAACCCAAUCAAACAAACAAAAACCAUAGUUAAAAUCGACUCCUGUCCCACCUCUUUUUGUUUAUUUAUUUAUUUUAAAUUCCCCUAUGUUAAAUCUUCACAAAAUCUUUCUUAUCACCUCGUGGAUUAAUUGCCAGUGAAAUAUUUGCUUUGGAAUGAGUAUCUCUUACUAAUGUGUCCUGCUCAGUGUUUAUGACUUAUAACUAUUCAGGGCAACAUACUAUAUUAUACAAAUAUUUGAAGCAAUCACAAGGGGGGCAAUGCUUUAACAUAAUCCUUCACUCACAAGUUGCCCUUGCAGCCCUUUUCAGUUACUUUUCAUUAUUUCACCACAGGGGAACAGUCUCAAUAAAUUAUUGUAUUAACAAUUACAUUAAAAAUGAGCCCUGGAACCCCUUUCUCUACCCCAGUAAAUGUCAUUUAACAGUUUUUGGUGUGGAAAUAUGCAACAGAUAAGUCAAGUGGGUUUUUCUUCUACUUCUUACAGAGGUAUGAAAAUAUCAGUAGAUGCUCAGAUCUCCGCUACUCAAAACAUUACGGGUCAGAUCCGAGCAGAGUGGAGAGGUCAGUGCUCCAUCAUCACAGCUUUAUAUCAUUAUGGGCUUUAGGGCAUAAUAGCCUGCAAGGAUGCUUGGUUAAAAGAUGGGAAGGAAACCUGAAAAAGGUUAAUUACGGCACGCACAGCACUUGACAGUUCCUUUUCAAUCUGAUUCAGCUCAGCUGUGAAUGCCACUGUGUCUUCUGCACAAAGAUCCCGCUCGCUGCUAUGCCACUUGCUGUCACCCCAAGGCAGUUGCGUGGUUUGCCCACAAGGACAGAUCCCAACCCCAAACACUGCAUGUUUUCCAAAGGGUGCACCUGCUUUGCUGUGGAUUUGGUGCUUAGAGCUUGCUGUCUGAAGCCUUAACACCCAGAAACUUGUUUUGACAGUUUGGGUUAUGUUCGUUAGGGAAUCCAAGGAGGGAAUAUCUCUGGAGGGGGCAGGGAGGAGAGGGAAAGAAGCACAAACAAAACAAAAACUUAAGCCUGUGACUAAUUGGCUGAAAGGAUGUGAGCAAUUCGGCUCCACUUAAUUGAAUGUGGGCUCAAAUUAAAAAGAAAGAGUAAUUGCCUUCAAAACUUUGCAUUGUAGAUUGCUGGUGAAAGGCUUAGAAGGUGAAAGCCUUAAAGCACAUGUGUCAGUGAUGUUGUUGACAGGAACCCAAAUAUCCUGUUAUAUGCAUCUGCAUUCAGAGGACUUCAUUCUAGAAGGGAUUAGCCUACAUUAUAUUGAUGGUUUUAUUUACAAGAUGAAUUUUCAUUAAAAAGGUACCCUGAUUUUUGCUAGAAAUUUCAGAAUGUGACCAUGCCUUCUAACUGCUAGCUGCCUUCUAAACAUUUCCUGAUCAGAGAACCUGAAAAUAGCUCUUCAGAUUUCAAAGUAAAUAUAAAGAAUCUCUGCAUUUGGUUACAAAUCCGCAUAUUCUUAUUCAUUUGUUCCUUCAAAUUUAGGGAGAACUUCAUCUGAGCAAAGGGAUAGUUGUGUUAAACACAAAUAACCAGGGAGUAGGGAGUCAAGGAAUUUACCUUGAAAGUACAAAUCUGAGUUAUGAGACCUUUUUAAAUAAAAAUCAGGAAUUAACUCAUGCGGUCUGUACAUUGCCAUUUAUUCUUUACAUCAAAGCUGCAUCCACAAGUUCUAGCCCCAUUGUGCUAUGCACAAAGACACAGAACAAAAGAAAUGUCCUACCUCUCAAAAUAAUUCUCUGCAAGAGUAACAAAGACCCUUUGUUUGCUAUUUAAGCAAGAUUGGUGGACAUCAUCUUUAAGAAGAAGCUCUGAGAAUCAACCUUUUCUGUCCUUUUCCAAAUAUGCAUAUGCACAUUUUUUGUGAGUCUGCUACAGUAAAAAGGCUCCUAAAGGAAAGAAUGGAGCAGAGCAAAAGGAAAAUAUUACUUUAUAUUAAUAACAAAUGGAGUGCACAACGCAUUCCACAUACAAAGGUUACCCAUCUACAGAGAUGGAAGCCAAGGGCAUUUUAAAACUUAAAGAUCCUUUAAAUAAACAUAUUGGUUUAAGUAGGAAGCAAAUAUUCUUAGCUCAGCAGGUAGUUGGUAUCUAAAUCACAUUCAGACUUCACAUAAAUACACAUGUCAAAGCAUUUAUCUAGUAAUAAAAAAAACAACUCUUAAGGAAUGCAGUUCAGAUAGGGAAGUGUCAGGUAUUUUGCACAUUUCCUAUUUCCAGCUCAUUAGUUUCAGCUUUUGACAGGGGUGGAGCUGAAAGAGGGGGUCAGAAAUCCUGUGGAGGUUUUUCUCUCCUCCCAAUUUCACAUGAAUAAACAGAGGGAGGGAGUCCCCUGCCUGUCUGCCAGGCUCUUAUCUAUCAUAUUUAGAUGCUAGAUGCUGUCAGAUACUAGAUAGCAAUGCCUGUAGGUAUUGCCAGUUACUGGGAAAUUAAACCUGGAACAGAAGAUACUCCUUUUCAUUCCCAAACUGACCUUAUGAUAUGAGUAGGUUUCAACAUCCUUCAAAAAACACUGAUGUCCAGACAAAGGUGGCAUUAUUAUAUUUUCAUCAUUUGCUACUCACACCUGAUUAUUAUUAUUUUUUUUCUCAUGUUGUCCACAAGUCUCUUACCAGCACCUUAUCUGUACCUUUUCUUUUGCCUACAUUAAUGUGUUCCUCUCAAAUCCAGGUUCUCUCACUCCGGAAGUUGUGGGUUUAGUACUGCACUGCUGGUUUUAAUUUGAACUUUCCUGAGUAUUAGGGAUUAUCAGAAAUACCUUGUUUUCAAAAAUAAAAUAGAAAGUGAAAAAAUAUACCUAGUUUUCCUUUAUUUCCCUAAAAAACAUUUCAGAAAAUGACAAUGCUUCCCUAGAGAGCGUUACUGUAAGAGGGACUUCGAUCUAAUUCGUGGAAUAUGUGCCUAUGAUCACUAACAGUCAAGUUAGCAAUUACCACCCUUGUGCAAGAAGAUACACACUGUAAGCCAAGAUAAGAUAUCCACACAAGCACACUGUCCCUACUAGCAGUAGAACAAACCUAGCCAGCACAAACUGCAAUAUAAAUGCUUUCAUGCAUUCAGCUGCUCUUUCAUCUGAAGGCUGAUAAAUUCCAGCUGAUGGAAGUUAACUUCUUAAGACACUGUUGGAGCAUCCCUUGGUUUGUUGUUGGUAGGAUAUAAAUUAAUAUUGAUAUUUAAGGUACUUUGUUUACAGAGAGGAAAGCCAGCAAUAUGGCCUAACUUUUGACUGAGUGAGGUCUCAGAGGUUACUUUGCACUGGCAUGAUCAUCCACACCUUUGGAUUACUUUUUGAAAAAUCUUUGUGGAUCAUGAGAUGCUUCUACUGUGAUAUGAAAAGAAAAUGACUGGCUUUGAUUUGAUGGUCAGGUGGAAUUUCAGUUUGGUUCCUAUCACCUCUCAGACUUGCUUAGAUGAUUCUGUUCCUAAAGUCUGUAUGGGUGUCAGGAAGAACAAUUAUGACUUGUUUUAAAGCUGUUCUGUUAGGGUCACAGGUGAAGUAAAAGACCCAUAACAUUUACCAAUAAUCAUUAGGACAGAGCAUAAGUAUUCACUUUGAAUUAACUUGUAAGCUAGAAGCAUUAACAAAGGCUGCAGGAAGUAUAAUUCUGGGAGGCUCAAAUCUGAAAUUUAUUUUGUCGCACUGUCAUAAAGGGGGUGCAACUUCUUUAAUGGAUUUGAGCCGUUACUAAAUGCAGUAGAGAACCAUAGGAUUCAGUGGACUUCACACAGCCAGGAGUUCAGAGUCUGCCCACUGUGGCUGGUGAGCUAUUUCAGAUGUCUGUUUCUAGCAGAAAUAGACCCGAAAGUGGGUUUACUCUCAAAGAAGAAAAAAGUAGGGUGAUGUAAAUUUCUCUUAAUUUGAGACUACAUUAUGGCCUGCUGCUGCUCAGUCAAAGAAGAUCAAAAAAAAAAAAAAAAAAAAAAAAAAAAUAGUUGCCUUUCUUGCUCUGAGUUUCUAACUGUCCUGCUCAGAUUGUGAAGCUAACAGUAGCUAAUAAAGGAGUAAGUGAACCAAACAUGAAUAACAUUUAGUUUAAAACCUAUCAGAUGGCAGAUGGGCCAUGUCUCAUAGGUGUCGUGGAGACAGUUCAGUGGAGAAGAUGCUGACCUAAUGGUGGCAAGAAUAUACUCCUGCCACUGCUGAUCAUUUUUCAUGGAUUCCCAGUUGGUUGUUUGAUAUGCAACUCCAAAAUUUAUUGUUUUUCUCCUUUUUCUUUCCUUUCUGUCAGCCAAUAAAGAGAAACCAUAACAUCAGCAGUGUUUGAAAACAUAUUUAUGUUUGUUUCCCCUAUAAAAAGAGAUAAUAAUGUUAUGUUCCAAUAAUAUUAAGUUGCAAUGUUAUUUGCAAGAUUGCAGAGCUUUUAAUUUUCUGAUUAUUUCCACAGUGGGAGUUUCAGCUCAAUUUCUACUAAGACAUUUCUAUCUGUUUUGGUUAUUUUUUUAUUACAGCUAGAAGCAACAAUAAUUGCCUUUAGUGUAUGAAAACAUGACUGAGGAGACAAUUGUCGUCCCUAAAGACUAAAAUCAUCAGCAUACAUUUUUGAUGUAAAAUUUUUGUAAAUUAAUUGCAAGGUCCUAUAAAUAUUAUAUUUACUAAAAUUGUGUUGUCUGCUGUCUUCAAAGAAAUAAUCUUUUCCUUUUUCUUUCUCUCUCUUUUUUUUUUUAACUAUGUUUCGUAUGCAGUACAUUUCCUGAGGCAGAAAACAAAAACAUGGAACAAAAUAUUAGCCUUUUACUUUUGUAGUUUUACAUUCUACUAUUUCUCUUUUUGAACUCUGGGGUUUCUUUUUAAUAUAGAGAAAAAGAUCAGUAACACUGUCAUUAAUCAUGACCAAUUUUCAGUUUCUCACUGUUCAGUUGAUCAAAAAAUUGAAUAUCCAUCCCAAAUAAUAAGGCAGUAUUCUUGCAUUUGAUUUUCUCACAGACCAGGAAAAUAAAUUCAAAAUGUCAAACGUUUUGUAGAAUAUCUUUUUCUGCAAUUCCUAUUCAGAAACAAUAAAAUGAAAUCUUUUAGAUGUCUCAUAAUGAAAGUGCUCCCACCCAGUUACAUCCUGGGAGAAAUUAUCUAUCACGACUUAUAAAGGAAAUAUCGUCUGCAACCACCCAUAGAGGAACCUGACAGACUGUCAAAGACCUGGAACUACAGUUGUCAAAAGUCCCUGAGAUAACUUGGGUAGAUGCCAAGAUUAAUAAGCCUAAUUAAAAUUACACUACUUUAUUUCCAUUUUUUCCUUGUAGAAUAAUAAACCACAGUCAGCCUAGAUUUUGUUUUUUAAAGAUCUAUUUUUUUACCUGGCUGUGUUAACAUCUCUCCAGUUGCAUUAUCUCACAGUCUGGUAUGUCCUGUGCAACCCAGAUGUAUAGUUGUUUCACAAGAUUUAUGAGUACAUGGCAAAGUUCUCAAGACAAACAGAUUAUGUCCUUUCCGAAUAGCUGUGUUUGACUGCAGGAGCUACAGAGUAUUUUGGAUAAAUGUGCUCAGCAGGCCUUUCUUUGAAGGAGACAGAUAGUGUAACAGCUAAUAUCAAGAACAGUGAUUAGCACCAAUAGAUUUUAGCAGAUUUACUCCAGUCAUAAUGGUAGCCCUUAAACUUGAGGAGGCAGUGCACUGGACUUACAUUAACUCUAGCAAAUUUGCUCCUAGAAAAGCAGUGGAAAACCUAGGGAAGAUUCUUACUAAUAAAGCACACUUUCAUAAGAAAAUCUGCUCUCCAAGGAAGAUCAGGGACAAGAUUAUACAGACAACCAGGACAAAAAUCAGUAGACAAGAAAAACUUCAGAAAUACUUAGUCUGUGGUUACUGUCUAAGAAUUAACUAUUUUUUUAUUUUUUAUUUUUUUGUUAAGACAGAUAUCAGGUCACUUUUUGAGACCAAUCACAGCUGCAGCUAUACCUGGAGUAGGACCUUGCUUUGGUUCUUCAUGAUUGCUAUAUCUAAAGUACAGCAGGAUGCAGCCAGAUAUGUCAAACUGCCCUUGUUUUCAACCAGGUAUUAGAUUCACAACUUCCUAAUGUAAAGAAAAAAAAAAAUUAUCUGUACUUUUGAAGACUGAAUUCAUCUCCAGGUAAUACAAAUGAGAAACGGUGCUCUUCCCCACAGUAAUAGGAUUGCAAUCAAGCUCUCAAUGUGAUUUACAAACUCUGUAGUGUUAACCAAUUACUUGCUGGUCAGCCAAUAACAAUGACUGAAUCAUCUUUUGCUUCAGAAAAGGAUCACUGCGCACAAGUUGGAGAAUCUCACAGCACUGCCUUCAAACCAUUCCUACUAAAUAAGACACUGCACUUCUCUGUCGAUAGAUACUAUAUGGUAUUUUAGCCCAAGAAACUUAUGUCAGGAUCUAUAAAAACAACUGGGAACAUGCAGAAUAAUUGAAUCUUAAAUGAUUGUGUAUAAUGUGUCUGCAUUUAUAUUUCAGCAUUUAAAUGCGUUUCAAUACUUUGGUGUGUGAAAGGGUUAAACAAUAACAGAUUUCCUGUGCUAAACAGCUUAAUGAAAAACAUUCAGGGUGCUUUUUUAGAACAACAGACUCAUACUGCAAAAUGAUAAUCUUUGGUAUGUCCUUUUUUUUUUUCUUUUUCACAAGUAACAAUAUAGGCGAGACAGACUUUGCUAUAAUUCUUCCUAAUUGCUCUAAUGCAUUUCAUUUUAUUUUAGUGUUUUCAGUUUAUAAAAACAGUUAGCAUCAGUUUGUUUCCAGUUUUAAUGGAGAUAAACUCCUUCUUUUCCCCCUGAAAAAAUUCACAAUAUGGUUGGAAAUGUCAGCAAUAAUUAGACAAAAUGCUUGUGAAACAUAAAAUAAAAACAAUACGUCUUUUUAUAAUGGAAUCAGUUUGUCUGAUUAUCUCAAACAAUGUACAUUUCCAACUGCCCAGGAGGGUCAUUAGAGCUUAUGAAAAUCAAAGUCUGCUUUUUCUGCUUCAGACAUCAUGGACAACAAUAUUGUCUCCAGGAUCAUUAUAAAUAUAUGUUAGACUUUCUUGAACUACAGUGAACCUGAAGCAUGAAAUGCAUUUAAAGAUAAAAACAUCAGGGGGAAAAAAAAAGAAAAAAUGAAAAACAAAACAAAAAAGCAAACAAAUAAAUCCACUUUGUGUUAUUAACUAAAUAAGUGUUACAUAGAAAUUAUAGUUGGAUACAUAACCUCGCUGAAUACAGUACUCAAGGGACCUUGGUUCUAUUCUGUCAUCAGUCACAGAUUUCCAGUAUAACCUCAGAAAAGUCAUUUCCUACCCUAUGCACAAUGAGGGCUAUUUGUCCCUUAAAGAGAUGGUUGUGACAGAGCUCCCUUCUGAGUUCCUGUCUAGGUGUGAAGUCUAAUUCAAGAAGUUUCUGUUAUUCCUUUGAGAUACACUCAGAGAAUAGACAAGAGUAUCACUUCUACCUUUUUUCCCAUUUGUAGAAAUGGGGCUAAUAUUCUCUUGCUCUCACUGGAGAGUUUAUGGAUACAAUCCAUUAGUGUGUGAGAGGCAUUCAGAUACCAUGAUGACAAGGACCAUUUAGCAAGUAAAUAUCUGGAUGGAGUAGGAGGAAUUCAGCUGCUGUUACCACAUUACAUUACAAAUAGUUUAGGACAAAAGACAAACGGGAAGUCUGAUAAGUUUAUCGUAUGAUCAGUUAUAGUCAUACAACAAUUCUGCACUCAAGGAACCUGGAAAGCUGUUUCAAAAAUGAAGUUUCCACCUGUUUAGUUUGUUUACCAAUAAGUGUGGCAGUAUGCCUAUUCUGCCCAGUGGUUUAAGCACUUUUCUCCUGCUCAUACAUGCUGGGUUUUCAGUCUUCAAUUGCAUCUUUCAGAUUCAGCAGCAGUGUCACACGGCAAGAUGGAAUUCUAGGGAUGCUGCUGCGUUGUUUUGGAUGGGAUCCUACUAUAUCAGCUGCCAAAGUGCCCAAGGAAAAACUGAAACUUACAGGAAAAUUAUAGCGACAUGAAGAAAUUUCAUUAAAAGUGACAUGUUCUAAACCUUUUAGAAAUACAAAAAUCUGUUGAAGAUCCCAAGAUGUGUGUAGAAAAUGUGGGUAAGAAAAGAAAAUGCAUUACUAAACUAAUCUAAAACCAAAGCAGGUAUUUCUCUGCUAUAGUAUUGCUACACAUAUGCUCUUGUUAGUACAAGCAAAUGCUUACCAAUAAUGAACAAUCUCUGUUGGUUGCAAUGCUCAAGCACAAAUUAAACAAUGCUAAAAACUAUUAUUAAAGCACAUGAAGGAAUUAAUACAUAAAAUCCUUCUGCUACUUCAAAUUCACAGCAAAGCGAUUCCUCUCAGCUAAGCCAUCAGUACAAUGUACAGAAGCCUAUUUUUAGGAAUGGUUAAGGGAACAUACUUUCCAUGGAUCUCCAUGUAUUUCAAGCCUACUAAGGGUACAACCCAUCCUAUCAGAGUAGGUUUAUUUGGAGGAGGAGGACAAGGAUCCCUGCUCACACUGCCUCCCAUGGCAUGAGAAAUGAGAAUAUUCUCGACAUCCCAGUAGCAAUAGGAGUAGAUAUGAUCCACUGUAAAAUCCUGUGAGCUUCAUUAUCAGUUUCAGAUGAGGGUUCUGUUUGUAAUUAGCAGAAACCAAACCAAUGAAGUAGUAUUUGGUUUUCUUUUGUGUGUUUUGCUCUCCAACAGUUGCUGAACACUUCAUUUUAGUCCACCAAUUCCUCAGCUAGUGACACAGCCCAGUCAGGGUCACAGGCCCAAAAUGUAUUCCACCUCUAUGCUCACCUGUCUCUUAAGCAGGGAAAUUAAAAUUCAUUGUCAAAAUAAGCAGAGAUUUUGCAGAUUGAAACAAGAGAGGAAUAGCACUUCUCUCUCUUGUGUCUUCUACAGUGUAACACAGCAGAGAAAGUAAAGCCCAGGGAAAAACAAAUUAGAGUGACCCCAAUGUCCUGAAGACAAUAUUUUCAAGCUUCAUCAUUGAAAUAAAGAUUUGAGAAAUCACCAAUCAACAGCUCAAAUCCACCAGAAGCAGAACGUCAAGUUUGGGCCCACAUGCAGAUUCUCACAUGAGGCUUUCACAUGGCAAGCUCCAUUUCUUCUAAAUUUUUCACUAUCAAAACUACUUCGAUGAAAUCAGAGUCAGCUGAAGAGAAAAAGGCAAAUCCUUCCGGGAUGAGGAAGAAACAGAAGGAAAAGAGAAGAGAAUUGAGAUGGAAAAUACAUUCUUGUCUCCAGAAAUAAGCAAGGCUCCCCAGAAUUUGGAGAUUAUGCAGUCACAGUUACCACAGCAAACGUAUUCUGAGCCGUGUCUUGGACCAUCCCAUUAAAGAUUUUCAAAUACACAACUAUAGGACUGCUUGCAAGAGGGCUGCAUAUUUGAAAUUUGUUUAAAUGCUAGUGUUAUGGAAAGCAUAAUCGGUACAGAUAUACCAAAACUGAGUCUGUAAAACAGAAAAUAAACCUUGCCAUUUGCCAUUUAGAGGCAGUUUAAAACAAGGUCUUUGACUUUGGACUGUACCUGGCAGGUUAGAGAUUCACUAGAUGUGCAGAAGAUGCAGCAAACUGAGAUCAUAGACUAAUGAUUUAGAUUUAAGAUUUAAACUAUAUCUCAUUGUCAUUGAGAUAACAUAAUAACUGAAUUAAAAAAAAAAAAAAACUGGCUUUUGUCAGUGCAAAAAUUAAGCUCUUGUGCUUGCCUCAGUAAUGAAAUAUACAACAUCUCUUGUUGUCCUUACCUUUGAACUGCAGAUAACUGUACAGCAAUGUUACAGGACAGAGAUACACUUGUGAAAUAUUCACGAGCUGAUGUCUUUGCAGCCCCACGGGACCAGUGAAGAGCUCUUUUUUCCCCCACAUCUCUCUCUCAGACUUUAAAUAAUGAGGAGCAGAAAAGGUAUGAGACAACAUGUCUGUGUGUCUCCUUUGAAAUCUUUUCUUACAUUACCUUGUUAUCUGUGCUCAAGAGCAGCAGGUAUUCCAGCAGUUCAGAGUGUAUCCACAGCAAAAACACCCAGCAAAAUAGACUACCAGUCGACACAGCUUUCAGUUCCUGGUCCAGUCGGCAAAACACAAAACUAAUACAUAGGGGAGUGCCAGCCUGGCUGAGGCUAGAGGGGAGUGAAGGCAGAAUUUUUGCCAACCAGUGAUUUAGGAAAAUAUAUAUUAUUCAUCCUGGAAAACAACCUAAUGCACUGUUUCCUACUCUGUGCUCUGAAAGUGCCUUCAUAUGGAAAGCUAUUAAACUUCUAUAUGUUUUUAGCAUUACAGCGUGGAUCAAAGCCUGACCACCCCAGGCAGAUGAGAGUGUCAGAUCCCUCCACCAGUCAGGAGGAUUUGGAUCAGUGUUUUCACUUUAGCCGUCAGUGGUGAAGAAAUCCAUCCAGACCUGAAUUUGGAGUUUUUCCUAUGCUACAGUACUGUGCAUUGGGAAAGACCAUCCUGAACUUACUAUGGGUGGAAUUCCACUUGUUUCUACCACUCUAAGUCAGGCUGGAGCAUGGACAAGAAUUAAAUCAGACCAGACUUAUCAGGGGAAUUCACCUUGUCAUCAAGGCAAACGUAACACUUUUUUUUUUUUUUUUUUUUUUUGAGGAGGCAUCACAUUUUAAAUUUCAAGUGCUGUAAGUCUUCUAACCCCCUUUUUUUAUUCCUUCUGUGAUACAAAAAUGCUUAUAUAACAGGUAUUUUCCCACACCAGCCUUAAAAGCCCUUAUUUCCUUUCUUUUUUUAUUUCAACAGACUAAUAGUCAUUGCAACACAGGUGACAGUAAAUCAAAUCAAGUUGAAAUGUCGGCCUGACUCAUUCUCAGACGAUAUAUGAUUUGUUUGCAUUGCAUUAUCUUGGAAACCCAUAGCCAGUGUGCACUAACUACAUGUCUGCACAUGGCAAGAAGAUAAACACCCUUAGCCAGUAAUAUAAAAUCUAAAUAAAAUUACAAUCAGGUUUGUAUACUAGGAUAGCUUUGUAACACCCAUGGGGCAUUACUCUUAUCAUUAGAAUUAUUUGCAUUAGAGCAGUGUCCAAAGAUCCUGCCUAUGAUCAGGUUCAAAUUGUGCUAGGCUCUGGAAAACAUGGGAAGAGACAAAAAUUCUGAAUGUUAAAUAGAUAAUUACAUGCAAAGGGUGUGAGAAAGAAAGGAUGGCUAUCAUUAUUUUGUAGAGAACUUAGGUGUGGAGAUUACAUUUUUGCUACAUUCUAAGCAUAGGUGCAAAGCAAUGCUGAAGUACAAGUCUGAUUUGCAUGUUCUUUGCACACCAUAACAUGUGUAGGUUACCACGGCUUUGUGGAAAUACUGAUAACAGUGGGAGAGAAAGCUUGAGUCUUCCAUCUCCAGCCACACACAUGGGCAGCUGGAAACGGGUGGCUAGGCUUUUCGCCUGAGGCAACAGCCACGCAUCCUGUCAUGCUGUCCUCUGACACUAUUUGAGUGCUGAUCAGACACGCCUGCCCAAGUUGUUCCCAUAAAGGCUUAGAGCCCUGCAACACAGGAUAGAUGGGCAGGAGAGUUACAGGAACGCCAAGCCCAGAGUCAGAUACCUGAAUGGAUGCCCAGACAACAUGAGUGGGUUUUUUGUUUAUUUUUUCUUUUUCCUCUCUUGGGCAGACCACAUGUUUUCUGUAAAGUCAUAAAAAAAUCUAAGUGGUGCUAAGAACCAGUCACCUCACUCCAGUUUGGCAUUUGCAAAUUCACCAUUCCUCUCUAAGGUAACAGCUGCUGGAACUACACCAGCAACUUCUUCAAAAAACAGGACAAGUGGUCUUUCAGUGGUGAAAGAUCUGCUGAACUCAAAGGAAGCUGCAUCUGGAGUAACAUUUCAAUGUAUACGCUGUGCAUGCUUACAAGUUUUAUGAUUACAGAAACAGCCAGCACAAUGCUGGGCUGACGAAAGAGGGGGUGGAUGUUUAGAUGCUGCUGUUUCACUUCAUGUUGGCAGGGAUAUGGAAAUUAUGAAGUGAUAAGGAGAGAUGUAAGAGGGAGGAGAAGGCAUGAGUGAUUGAUUAUGUGCUUAAUUAAGCAAUGUUGGCCACAUCAAGUUGUAGUGAAGUCUCUGUACAUCUGUAGCAUGCUUUUAGUCCCAGGCAAUAAAUUGGCUACCUGCCUCUGAAUGGACAGUGAGGGGAAAAUACUUUUGAAGGUAGAAAUGUUGGCUAUCCAGAAGCGAUGGAUGGUUACUUACUAUUUUUUUUUGUCUUUGAAGACUGUAUAUUAUCAGUUAACAUAAUGAACUCACCAAGUGGUCCAGUAACCCACGGAAGUAAUUCUACUUAGAUCACUGAAAUAAAAGGCAGGAGCAAGGCUUUCAGACUUAGGCCUCAAACAAAAACUAACAUUCAAGGAUAGCAAGCUUUUCCUCCUGUUUAAGCUCCUUUAAUAAAAAUGCAAAUAUUGCUUUCUUAACCACAAUAGGAACUCUAGUCAUUAUUUUUCAAUACUAAUGUUAGUGUUUUCCUAUAACUUCUGUUGUGCUGUAAUUCUAGAGGCCCAUGUCUAAUCCCAUAUGUAAUGUGUUUAUUAGAUGUAAUAUUUUAUCUCUUGGAUACAGUUUCUGACACUAUCAUUUUGUUCUUAUUUCAAUAAAACUGAUUUCCUUCCUUCUCACCCUGACAGGAUGCAUUGAAUUUCUUUAUCACAGAAGAAAGUUAGAAAGGUUCUCCCAUAAAAGACAAAAAUGGACUGCAUGUAGUGUGGCUUAAUUUAAUUUAUCUCAUAAAGUCCAGACCAAAUAAAGUAACUUUAUAAUAUUAGAUACGGCCAGAAUUGAGCUGGGAUUCUUUUGUUGUUGUUGUUUGUUUUUAAUAUAUGGUUAUCUAGUCUCAGUAAAUCUGUAGCUCAUUGGCUUCACCACCUGUAUCCUUCUGAACACAGAAUGAAACAGUACCAAAUGCUCAUGCAAUUUCUGAUUUUCUUUGGGAAUUCACUAUCUGUGUGCUUUAAUCAAGUGAUAAUAUGUAGGAACCAUUCCAGCUUUCAGCUGACAAAAGCACAAUAUUAGUUGUUUGAUGAGAACUCCUCUAUGGAUACAAAUUCCACAUGGAUUUUCCCAGGCUUUGUAAAUUUAUUAAAAAAUAAUAUAUUCUAUACACAAUUAGAACAUGAAUGUUAAAAGAGUAAGUAAAGUAAUUUGUUGGGAAUGUGAAAUCAUCUAGAAAAGAAAGAUGUUUUCGUAUAAUUUUAGCUGUCACAUAAUAAUUUGCAAAACACAGAAGGCAUUUGAAACCUUUGGUAUCCAGAUCCAGAUUCCCAGUAGAAAAGUAUUCCUUUCAGGCUACCUUCUGGAAUAAAGGUCUUCUUUAUCUCCUUUAUCAUAUUGGUAGUGUUUCACUAAACAGACAGUCAGAAGCUGCUGUUGAAUAGGGAAGCUGGAAAACGCUCAUCUUAUUUCAUAUUCAUUUUCCACACCUUGUCAACAACUGCACAGCUCACCACUGAAGCUGCAUUUCAUGCAAUGCAUCCAAAGGUUACAACUUAUAGGUCAGAGAUGGGAAUUUUCACUUCGCAAUCACUGGGCAGCUGAGACUCCAUACAUUACUGUGGUGACAGGUAUAGUACGCAGUGAUGAACCUUCUGUCAGUCAGACAGAGGUCACAUUGGUAUCAGUUACUAACAUACCCCUCUCCUAGCUUAAAAAAAAAAAAAAAAAAAAAAAAAAAAGGAAAAUUAAAAAAAGUCUAUUUUUUUUCUUCUUGUGGAAAAUGGAAACAGAGUUGAUGUUCACUAAUGUCAAGUGGCAGGAGAUUUAGAGCCCCAGAGCUCAGGAGGUCUCCUGUAGCUGUGCUGGCAGUACUUUCAGCACCAACAUAAAUCGCCGCCUGAACUGAAACCCACAAAAGCUGUUCCAGAAGAAACUACAACAGCCACGUAAACAUGUACUGGACAGGAAACAAUGAACUCCAACCUGGUACUGGAGAAUCCAAAAUAAGAGCAUGUCAACUUCCUGGUCAUAGCUAUUUUAUUUUUUUUCGUAUUUAGCAUCACUUACACAAAAACAGUUAAAAAUUAUUACCUUAGCAGACAGUCAGAUUUUUAGUUUUUGUAAUGAGGUGGCUGAAUCUCACAUUAAAGAGGAAGCUGUAACACAAAUAAGAGGAAGUGAAUAAGUACUUAAGAUGUACCUUCAACUCCGUAAUUUUAACGCUUUCAUGAAGAGAUCAGAAUACAAAAUCUAUCAUCAUUAAUUAUAUCCUGUUAUACCAUCCUUGUGUUCUUUGCCAAAUAAAUGCCAUAACACAUCAGAUAACAACAGAAUAUUUACAUUACAAAGGUUAAAGGAUCAUGCUAUCUGUAGCUAGGUCAAAGUAUUUUGGUCAACUGCAAUAAAAUUUUGUCUGAAGGUCCCCAGAGGUUAAUGCGAUCACUGAACUUCACAGUCAGUUUAUGAAUAAGACCUUAAAAGAAUAUUCCUAAGUUCCUGCAUUUUCCUACUUGUGGUACUUGAACAUCCACAAGCAAAUACUGGCCUUCCUAAACAAGACAGUUGGAUGACACAUUUUUUUUGUGUCAAAAAGGAAGCCCUUCUUCCCCUCAAAAAAAAAGAAAAAAAAAAAAAACCUAGCAUAAAGCAGACUCUAUACACAUGGAAUAAAUUGAUUUUACCAAGGCUAAAUUUGUCUAGUGGAGCCUAUACUUGAGAUCAUUCAAGCGCUCUCUUGAGUUAUCUCAUUGUAGCAGAGUUUGCAGGACAGGGCCUUGAAUUUGUUUCUGCCAUACAAAGUUGAUAUAUAAGAAGACAGGAUUUAAUUGAAACAUCUUGAAAGAG
RNAcentral lists this long non-coding RNA (17416 nucleotides) under Gallus gallus (chicken). Its description in RNAcentral is "lncRNA (ENSGALG00010018407.1)". Lineage: Eukaryota; Metazoa; Chordata; Aves; Galliformes; Phasianidae. The record is from RNAcentral.